AGAGUUUGAUCCUGGCUCAGAACGAACGCUGGCGGCGUGGAUGAGGCAUGCAAGUCGCGCGGGAUCCGGUUUGUAGCAAUAUAGGCCGGUGAGAGCGGCGUAAGGGUGAGUAAUGCGUGGGCAAUCUGCCUCCAAGUUCGGCAUAACCCUGCGAAAGCGGGGCUAAUUCCGAAUGUGGUAAUCCGGUGCAUACCGGGUGUUCCAAAGCUGGGGACCGCAAGGCCUGGCGCUUGGAGAUGAGCCCGCGUCCUAUCAGCUUGUUGGUGAGGUAACGGCUCACCAAGGCUUACGGGUAGCUGGUCUGAGAGGAUGGUCAGCCACACUGGGACUGAGAUACUGCCCAGACUCCUACGGGAGGCUGCAGUCGAGAAUCAUUCGCAAUGGGCGAAAGCCUGACGAUGCGACGCCGCGUGCAGGAUGACGGCCUUCGGGUUGUAAACUGCUGUCUUUGGGGAGCAAUAGCACGGCCAUUAACACCGGCUGUGUGUGAUAGUACCCGAGGAGGAAGCCACGGCUAACUCUGUGCCGGCAGCCGCGGUAAUACAGAGGUGGCAAGCGUUGUUCGGAUUUACUGGGCGUAAAGGGUGCGUAGGCGGUUUUGCGUGUCGGAUGUGAAAUCCCACGGAUCAUCUGUGGAACUGCAUUCGAAACUGCAGGGCUAGAGGUCAGUAGAGGAUGGCGGAAUUCUCGGUGUAGCGGUGAAAUGCGUUGAUAUCGAGAAGAACACCGGUGGCGAAGGCGGCCAUCUGGGCUGAAUCUGACGCUGAGGCACGAAAGCUAGGGGAGCAAACAGGAUUAGAUACCCUGGUAGUCCUAGCCGUAAACGGUGUGCACUUGAUGUGGGAGGAAUUAUCCCCCUCCGUGUCGAAGCUAACGCGAUAAGUGCACCGCCUGGGGAGUACGGUCGCAAGAUUAAAACUCAAAGGAAUUGACGGGGGCCCGCACAAGCGGUGGAGCAUGUGGCUUAAUUCGAUGCAACGCGAAGAACCUUACCUGGGCUUGACAUGUAACUGCACGCCUUCCGAAAGGGAGGAAGCCUUCGAGGGUGUUACACAGGUGCUGCAUGGCUGUCGUCAGCUCGUGCCGUGAGGUGUUAGGUUAAGUCCUGCAACGAGCGCAACCCCUGUGACUAGUUGCUCAUGCGCAAGCAUAGCACUCUAGUUAGACUGCCUGUGAUAAGCAGGAGGAAGGUGGGGAUGACGUCAAGUCAGUAUGGUCCUUAUGUCCAGGGCUGCACACGUGCUACAAUGAACGGUACAGAGGGAAGCAAGACCGCGAGGUGGAGCAAAUCCCAGAAAACCGUUCUCAGUUCAGAUUGGAGUCUGCAACUCGACUCCAUGAAGCCGGAAUCGCUAGUAAUGGCGCAUCAGCUACGGCGCCGUGAAUACGUUCCCGGGCCUUGUACACACCGCCCGUCACAUCAUGAAAGCCGAUUGCACCCGAAGUGGCUCUUUGAGUCCCUAAGGUGUGGUUGGUGAUUGGGAUGAAGUCGUAACAAGGUAGCCGUAGGGAACCUGCG
Molecule: ribosomal RNA, 1519 nt
Filed under: metagenome
Description: bacterial SSU rRNA
Rfam family: Bacterial small subunit ribosomal RNA
Source: RNAcentral